Molecule: long non-coding RNA, 4224 nt
Filed under: Triticum aestivum (bread wheat)
Lineage: Eukaryota; Viridiplantae; Streptophyta; Magnoliopsida; Poales; Poaceae
Description: long non-coding RNA (TAES_LNC017660)
Source: RNAcentral
AUGGGGAUUUGUUUGCCUAAUAGUAGAAUUCCAAUUGCUUUUGGAUUUGUAUGAUGCAGCUUACAUACUCCCAUCACCCAGUAACAUAUCAAUAUCAGUUACUGCAUCUGGCCGGGUUUAUAUUAUGCAUCCCUACUGAAAGUUUCAUUGUUAAAUAGAAACGAAGAUUACAGUUAUAGAUGAUAGAUAUAUGUAAUUGUGUGCUGCAUUCUCACUGCUUCCAGUAGAUAGUAUCAUUUCAGAGUUCACCUAAAAUUUGCAAUGUUCAAAUUUUUGGGAUCAAAAUACAACUUUUUUUAAAUUUAAGCCAAUAUAAAGUGUGUGCAGGUUGACUUUUAAAACAUUUUUGCUUACAAGAAGGUUAUCAGUUGUAAUGUUUAGCACCUACAUAACCUGAUGGUCCUGUAGUGACUUGGGAUUGGCAACUAAAGAAACAUGGGUAUCGAGCAUAUUAAUGUGAGAAGUAGAUAUACAAUAUGUUAUAAAGGAGAAGACAAGUAAAUAUUGAGUGUGAAAGAUAAGUAUGAUUUUUUUACUAUCAUAUGAAUUAUUGAAUUUAAUCUGGUAUUCAACCCCUCAAAAUUAGAUUUAAUACAUGCUACUACACCAUUACAUAUCUCUACUAUUAAAGGAGAAUUUGACAAGUAAUCAAGCAAGUCAGCACUGUCGUCGAUGGAAGUUGUCGUGCGGAGAUGGAAGUUGACAAGUAAGUUUCUCCAUGAAGUUGAUCUGAUGCGAAGCUUGUGCCAGAUAAAAGGUUAAUUGAGUUCUCAUCUCCAAUAUGUUUGCAUUCUAACUAUCCUUGUUGAUUCAGUGGUUCCAUGAUGCUACAUUUCACUUGUUUUUCACCUCUUGAUGCUACUAUGGACGGAAGGCGUUUGCUAAUUUGCACAUUAAUUUUUUUUCUGAUAAAAUGUGCCAAUAUCACCUGCAUUAUGCUUUUUAAAUUAUUAAUCCCUGCUAUAAUGUAACGUGCCCACAUAACAAGUAUUCCGCAAUCUUCGCAAGCAUGUAUUUGUUUGUCUAACUGUAGGUGAAAGAACAAGAUCCACUGUGUGUGCAACGGCAACAAUAAAUAUCAUGUCAUUAGGGAGACUUCUGAUAAUUCUACUCUGCAUUUUUUUUCUUUAGUAGAAGUGUUCUGCCGCAUUAUUCAACUAUGUGUGACCAAUCUGACACACCUCACGAGUUCUAUAUAUAUAUAUAUAUGGACUGAGCAAUUGAUUCAGGUCUUUUUUCAAGUGGGGAUGCAGAUUGGGCAUCAAGGUGUACGACAGAGGAUGACAAACGAUUACGUUCUGCACGUUAGUCCGCGUACAACUUAAAAGUUGAUUGAUACUUUUCAUUUUAUAUUGAUGGUCCCUCCAGCGAGAACAAUUUUUUGACUCGAUGUGUAGAUAUGCUCUUUUAUUUGUGCGAAGUUGUUCAGACUUUUCUUUGAUUCAUUAUUUUAGCUGCAUACAAAAGGAGUAUGAGUACUGUUUGGUUCCAUGCAGGACCAACCAAGGAAGAGAAGCAAAUCACAACCCUUUAGUUCAUGGUCUAGGAGCAGGAAGAUACACAUCCAUCUUUGUGAUAUUCUGGUAUGAAUAUGCAUGGUACUACGUACAGAAUCCCUCAAUUGUGUAGAUAGGUCAUCAAGUAAUAGUUAGUAAUUCAUACUUCUGCUUCACCUUUUAGUUAAUUAUCCGCUUUCAAGUAUUUGUUGCCGAAGUGAGCAUCUAAUUGCAGGAAUUCUGUGAGGUAACCAUCUCAAUCUUUUUGUCACAAGGCUCUUGCGCGGUAGAGAUUUUUGCUUGGUCAUAAAUGAAUUAGUUCCAUUCUUUGACAGUAAGAGAAUGGAGCCAGAUGGAGGAACAUCAGCAUUGAUGCCAACAUUUCCAUUCUCUUGUUGUAGUAGUGUCUUAAUUGGAAGAAUAUUUUGAUGAUGUUGAUUGCUUUCUAUUCUCAUCUUUUCAUUAUUUUAGAUCACUUUCUCGAUAGUUCAAUACUAUAUUUUUGGGAUUAACUGUAACAUUAUGUGAAUAUAUGUUUAUAGUUCUAAAAUCAGUGUUCAUCAGCAAUCAGCCUUCUAACUAAAUAAUAUUUUCGCAAGGGCUUCUCUACACUGGUACGGUCUCUCGCUGGUACAUGAUUUGAGGCAUAGGAGGGAGGGGCACGUUGCGAUGUCGUCUUUGGUCACGGCUAUAGCUUAUGAGAAGAAUGGGAUUUAUGCUUGGGAGACUGCCCGUGGUUAGCAAGUCAUUAUUGCCGCCUCCGCUUCCCAAGUUGCCUCGGCUUGCUGUUGGUGUCUGCUGCUUCUGCAGCCCCUGCCGGCCGCCUCUUAGGUUGGGUUUUGCUACCACUACUGAAGUUUCCAUUGCCUCGGCAAGGCGUCGUCGUCUUACUUGCAAGGCACACAUUGCACCGCGGGCAACAUUUUGCUAUGCAUGGCCACUCAUGUCAAAGCUGGGUUCCAGUUUGACGACCUCUCUAUCAAGUCUCCAUGUUCUUCUUCCCGGUACUUUCUCCAUCUGCUGUUAUAGUCUCUUGCAAGUACGGCUUAUCCAGUUUGAUGUCAUGUUGCUUCGACAGUUGUGUAUUAACCCCUUAGGAAGAAGAGCGGGGAGAUGGAAGUUGUAGGCGUGUGCCCCCGGCCGACCGUCGUUAGACCAGUAUGAGCUAGCGGCGGUGGUCGUCGAGGACUCUAAGCAUCCGCGGAUUGUCGUGGCGUAGUGGUGCCACCGAGGGCACCAACAUCAGCAGUAGAUGCAACAACGGCGGCAACGGUAAGAGACAUAGGCCAAGGAUAGGGAUAGAGCAACUCAGCCACAAUAAUUUUUUAUUAAUUAUGAGAUGUUUCUUAUUUAUUCUAGAUAUGAUCUACUCCCUACAUUUCAUAAUGUAGUGCUCUUGAGAGGUGGAGCAUUAAAGAGCAAAUCAACUGGGCCCAGGCCUUCAUGGCUUCGUCCCCUACUUUCUACUGAUCCAUGCCAACUGCGUAGUUAUUUACUUUGGAAAGGCCUAGAUAUAUUUCACAUUUAACAGAAAAGUUCACACUGCAAUUGUCUGUACAAAGUUAUGUUUUGUUUUCAUUAUUUGUUUAUGUAACUCAUUUUUGGACUUGGUACUCAUUUGACAAUAGUGUUUUUAGAUGGUGCUGGGGAAUAGAUUCAGUUGAGUGGUGGAGUUAGCACUUGCUCAUGGUCAUGGAUGACUCUUCCUCGUCGAUGGAUGUAUGUUUAGUACUCCGUCAGUUUCAUAAUUCUUGUCGUGCUUUUAGUUCAAAGUAAAACCAUGUCAAGAAUUAUGGAAUGGAGGGAGUACUUAUUUGCCGAACCGGAGUUAAUACGUGCAUGGUGUGUGGUAACUACUCUUGCAUUUGAAUUUUUUGUGUGCGUUUAGUCUUUUAGAGGCUUUGUACUCUAUUGAUACACAUGUGGCAUAUCUGCAGGAUAGAUAAUGUUUCAUUGGUAGCCCACACAGUGCAUCUAGAGAAAACAAUUGCUUUCAUCGGCAUACGGGGAUAUAUUCUUCAGUGGACAUUCAGCUAGAAUACAUAUGAAUUUUCCAUAUACUUAAGAGUUUUUUCUCUCAAGGGAGCUGCAUUUUUUUAGAAAGGGAAUAACACAUAUUGGUUGUUUUCAUGGUAUUAGCCACCUCUAUUGUGUGUCUCAAUCAUUUAAAUUUUGGGCAUUGUACUAUCAUGGAUCAGUUUUGCAAUAAAUUGGUAGAAGUUUUUGCCCCCAAGAAUAUAAUGAGAAAUAUUUGCCGCAACUAAACUUUGCUGAGCAUGUCUAUUAACACUUUCCUCUUCUCCUAUUAGAUGUAAUGAUGUAGACCAAAGCAACCCUCAUGUAUAUUGAUACUAUACUAGAAGGCCACUGAAGAAUUUUACAGAACAAGAGAAGAUGGCGUGCACCAUAUCUUUAAGAUGACUUCCCUCACCAUGUGGCAUGCACUUUUCGGUUUUACUUUAGCGCAAUUGCCAUGUAUGUAAGGGAUGCAAUUAGGCUGAAUAUUGCAAUUGUAGUUUUUUCUAAACUUUUUCAACAUCCCAGCAUUAGUAAAAUACUCCCCCCAUUCCAUAAUGUAAGACUUUUUUGCAAGUUAUAUGUUUGUACAUUAUAUUGCUGGAAAUCAAGAAUUUACUCUUUUUGACUAAUAUUGUGUUUUAAUAGUCCAUUUCCUUUGUUUCAAAGGGUUGCGAUAGUGAAUAAAGCAAGAGCAACACCUUGUUUGUCG